This 385-nucleotide ribosomal RNA is filed under the name uncultured bacterium. RNAcentral's name for it is "bacterial SSU rRNA". It matches the Rfam family "Bacterial small subunit ribosomal RNA", at positions 370 to 772 of the family's 1533-position model. The record is from RNAcentral.
AAUGGGCGAAAGCCUGACGCAGCAACGCCGCGUGCGGGAUGACGGCCUUCGGGUUGUAAACCGCUUUCAGCAGGGACGAAAAUGACGGUACCUGCAGAAGAAGCUCCGGCUAACUACGUGCCAGCAGCCGCGGUAAUACGUAGGGAGCAAGCGUUGUCCGGAUUUAUUGGGCGUAAAGAGCUCGUAGGCGGUUCCGUAAGUCGAGUGUGAAAAAUCUGGGCUCAACCCAGUGGAGCACUCGAUACUGCGGUGACUAGAGUCCGGUAGGGGAGUGUGGAAUUCCUGGUGUAGCGGUGAAAUGCGCAGAUAUCAGGAGGAACACCGACGGCGAAGGCAGCACUCUGGGCCGGUACUGACGCUGAGGAGCGAAAGCGUGGGGAGCAAA